RNAcentral lists this ribosomal RNA (253 nucleotides) under uncultured bacterium. RNAcentral describes it as "partial 16S ribosomal RNA". It matches the Rfam family "Bacterial small subunit ribosomal RNA", at positions 524 to 776 of the family's 1533-position model. The record is from RNAcentral.
UACGUAGGGGGCAAGCGUUGUCCGGAUUUAUUGGGCGUAAAGAGCGUGUAGGCGGCCAGACAGGUCUGCUGUGAAAACUCGAGGCUCAACCUCGAGACGCCGGUGGAAACCGUUUGGCUAGAGUCCGGAAGAGGAGAGUGGAAUUCCUGGUGUAGCGGUGAAAUGCGCAGAUAUCGUAAGGAAGACCAGUGGCGAAGGCGGGUCUCUGGACAGUUCCUGACGCUGAGGCACGAAGGUCAGGGGAGCAAACGGG